AGCAGCCGCGGUAAUUCCAGCUCCAAUAGCGUAUAUUAAAGUUGUUGCAGUUAAAAAGCUCGUAGUUGAAUUUCGAGAUCAAAUUGUUGGUCGUGCCUCGGUACGUACUGGCAUUAUUGAUUUCUCCCUUCUGAAGAACCACGAUGUCAUUAAUUUGGUGUCGUGGGGAAUCAGGACUGUUACUUUGAAAAAUUAGAGUGUUCAAAGCAGGCUCACGCUUGAAUACAUUAGCAUGGAAUAAUGAAAUAGGACGCUUGAUUCUAUUUUGUUGGUUUCUAGGAUCGACGUAAUGAUUAAUAGGGAUAGUUGGGGGCAUUAGUAUUCAAUUGUCAGAGGUGAAAUUCUUGGAUUUAUUGAAGACUAACUACUGCGAAAGCAUUUGCCAAGGAUGUUUUCAUUAAUCAAGAACGAAAGUUAGGGGAUCGAAGACGAUCAGAUACCGUCGUAGUC
RNAcentral lists this ribosomal RNA (450 nucleotides) under uncultured Glomeromycotina. Its description in RNAcentral is "SSU rRNA". It matches the Rfam family "Eukaryotic small subunit ribosomal RNA", at positions 569 to 1025 of the family's 1831-position model. Lineage: Eukaryota; Fungi; Glomeromycota. The record is from RNAcentral.